GCGGGUGUAGCUCAGGUGGUAGAGCAUCAGCUUCCCAAGCUGAGGGUCGCGGGUUCGAGUCCCGUCACCCGCU
This 73-nucleotide transfer RNA is filed under the name Pseudomonadota bacterium. Its description in RNAcentral is "tRNA-Gly". It matches the Rfam family "tRNA". From Rfam's summary of the family: Transfer RNA (tRNA) molecules are approximately 80 nucleotides in length. Their secondary structure includes four short double-helical elements and three loops (D, anti-codon, and T loops). Lineage: Bacteria; Pseudomonadati; Pseudomonadota. The record is from RNAcentral. RNAcentral also lists the same sequence under 2 other names.